This 1304-nucleotide long non-coding RNA is filed under the name Nicotiana tabacum (common tobacco). Its description in RNAcentral is "long non-coding RNA (NTAB_LNC015344)". Lineage: Eukaryota; Viridiplantae; Streptophyta; Magnoliopsida; Solanales; Solanaceae. The record is from RNAcentral.
CAUUAUCUGCUACAGAUGAAAUAGUUCAGCAAUUUAAUGAUGAACAAUCAAUUCACAAGAAAAAUUGAGCCAUUUAAAGCCAAUAAAAACAAUUUAUAGCACCCACAAGUUAUGUCUUUUCCAGUACUUCUGUUUUAAUUACUGCAGUUGGGAAUUGAAGAUAAAGGACUAUGCAGUUUUCCAUAUUAUAAACCUAUUGACUAAAUUCAUGCCAUGGUACACCUAUUUAUCACAUCUACAGACAGUUGUUCAUAUGUAGACAAUGUCGAAAAACAAAUCUGGGUAGACUUUACUACUCUAGACAACCACCAUGAAGACGAGUUUAAGAACAAUAAAUUUCCAACAUAUCGUUUAUUUUCUUGCACAUUCAUUAAUGCUUAAAGCUGUGAACUCAUAUGACCUGUUCACUUUUCUAUUUCAUUUUAAAAUUCUAAAUUUCAUUAGUUUUUCUAUAUAUACAGCUCCAGCAAUUUUGUUAACAUUUGUUUCCCCACAACAGUUUCAAGAAAAGCUUCAAAUGAUAAAUAAAUCCACCAAAAUAAAGCUAAAAUCAUCCAAAGAUUCAGUCAACAAAUCUGUGAUACAUAGAACUUAUUAGCUAAUAUAAGGGGAAAUGACAUACAAGAAAUACUUAACAUUAGAAAAGGGCUACCCAGAAAAAUUAAAAAAGAUCAUCUCUAUCAGGAUCAAACAACAAUAAUAUUCCAGCUUAUGAAAAGAAAAAAUCAACAAACUGUACUGUUAUAAGAAAAGCCCAAAAGGGAAAAAAAUAUCAGCAAAUAUGAUGUCAUAUUUCAAUCAGUAGCAGAAGAAACAAAACCCAGAAAGGAAGACCAUCUUAAAGGCUACUGUGAACAUUCAAAAAGAAGAAAGACAAUACUACAUAAAGUUUCUACCUUUAAACAAAAUAUGCUCAAACAUAAAAUGAAAAGGCACACAUGUACGGAAAAGAAAAGAGAUGAAGCAGCAACCUGAAACAAGAUCAGCAGCAAAAAAAAGGAAGCUAAAUCUUCAUUGAAGAAAGAAGAAGAAGAAGAAGAAGAUGGGUGUUAUUUCAGGGUGAAGGGGCAAAAAUUGAGAAAGUUGAAAACUUUGAAAGGAAAAAGAGAAAACCCCAGAAGUAAUUACUACUACUUUAGAGAGAGAAAAGGGGGAAUGUGUGAAAUUGAAUGAGGGAAGUGGAACAAGGGAGUUGAGGGGGGGAAAUCACGCACUGUUCUUUUCCUCUGUAUGUCUUUCUGUCUCUCUCUGUAUAUAAAUUUCCUGUGUUUGUGGAACUCCAAAUUGGCGGAAAAAAAGGAAAG